AACUAUAUUGUGCAGAGAAAGAGAAAAAGAGGGAGAAGAAAACCCCAAUCCAUUCCAAAAUGUUUCGUUCCUAAAACCACAACCCUAACAAAAUCACAAAAUCCUCAAUCCAUUCCAAAUGUUUCGUUCCUCUGUUGUUCUUCAAUCCAUUCGAUGAUGACGCGCGUUUCUUUAUUGAGAUUCGAUCUCAAUCUCUGCUUGCUAAUGAGCUUCGAUUUUUUCUUCUCGUGAUCAUGUGCUUCGAUCUUCUCUGCUCGUCAAUAUGCUUCGAUCCUCUGCUCCUCUCCUCGUUGAGUUUCGAUUCUCUACUCGUUGAGAUUCGAUCAUCUGCUUGUUGAGCUUCGAUCCUCUACUUCUCUUUUCGUCGAGCUUCGAUCCUCUCUGCUCGCGUUCAUCACCACCAGUCACUGUUCGAUUAUCACUGCUCGUGUUUUUGGUGAGAUUCUCGUUUUUGGCAUUCUUCUGUAGGGGAAGUAUUGUAUGGUGGUUGUGAUGAUGUUGGUGUUGGAGCAGCAGCACUAUAGGGAGGGUGGGAAAGUGGUGAUGGUAUUUUUGGAGGGUUUGGGUGAUGGUUGUUGUGGGUAGCAGGCGAAGGAGCUUGAGAAAUUGGUGAUGGAACAUAUGGAGGAUUAGGUCAUGGUUGUUAUGAGCAGGGGAAGGAGCCUGUGGUGGAGUUGGAGUAUGAUAAGGUGGUUGAGAAAUUGGUGUUGGUACAUAUGGAGAAGGUGAUGAUCUUGGUGUUC
This is a non-coding RNA of Arachis ipaensis, 743 nucleotides long. The record is from RefSeq and is a predicted model, not a curated record. Lineage: Eukaryota; Viridiplantae; Streptophyta; Magnoliopsida; Fabales; Fabaceae.